Molecule: ribosomal RNA, 1225 nt
Filed under: Salmonella enterica
Lineage: Bacteria; Pseudomonadati; Pseudomonadota; Gammaproteobacteria; Enterobacterales; Enterobacteriaceae
Description: partial 23S ribosomal RNA
Rfam family: Bacterial large subunit ribosomal RNA
Source: RNAcentral
AAUAUUCCCGUACUUGGUGUUACUGCGAAGGGGGGACGGAGAAGGCUAUGUUGGCCGGGCGACGGUAGUCCCGGUUUAAGCGUGUAGGUGUGUGUUCCAGGUAAAUCCGGUUCACUUUAACACUGAGGCGUGAUGACGAGGCACCACGGUGCUGAAGCAACAAAUGCCCUGCUUCCAGGAAAAGCCUCUAAGCAUCAGGUAACAUCAAAUCGUACCCCAAACCGACACAGGUGGUCAGGUAGAGAAUACCAAGGCGCUUGAGAGAACUCGGGUGAAGGAACUAGGCAAAAUGGUGCCGUAACUUCGGGAGAAGGCACGCUGACACGUAGGUGAAGUGAUUUACUCAUGGAGCUGAAGUCAGUCGAAGAUACCAGCUGGCUGCAACUGUUUAUUAAAAACACAGCACUGUGCAAACACGAAAGUGGACGUAUACGGUGUGACGCCUGCCCGGUGCCGGAAGGUUAAUUGAUGGGGUCAGCGCAAGCGAAGCUCCUGAUCGAAGCCCCGGUAAACGGCGGCCGUAACUAUAACGGUCCUAAGGUAGCGAAAUUCCUUGUCGGGUAAGUUCCGACCUGCACGAAUGGCGUAAUGAUGGCCAGGCUGUCUCCACCCGAGACUCAGUGAAAUUGAACUCGCUGUGAAGAUGCAGUGUACCCGCGGCAAGACGGAAAGACCCCGUGAACCUUUACUAUAGCUUGACACUGAACAUUGAGCCUUGAUGUGUAGGAUAGGUGGGAGGCUUUGAAGCGUGGACGCCAGUCUGCGUGGAGCCGACCUUGAAAUACCACCCUUUAAUGUUUGAUGUUCUAACGUGGACCCGUAAUCCGGGUUGCGGACAGUGUCUGGUGGGUAGUUUGACUGGGGCGGUCUCCUCCUAAAGAGUAACGGAGGAGCACGAAGGUUGGCUAAUCCUGGUCGGACAUCAGGAGGUUAGUGCAAUGGCAUAAGCCAGCUUGACUGCGAGCGUGACGGCGCGAGCAGGUGCGAAAGCAGGUCAUAGUGAUCCGGUGGUUCUGAAUGGAAGGGCCAUCGCUCAACGGAUAAAAGGUACUCCGGGGAUAACAGGCUGAUACCGCCCAAGAGUUCAUAUCGACGGCGGUGUUUGGCACCUCGAUGUCGGCUCAUCACAUCCUGGGGCUGAAGUAGGUCCCAAGGGUAUGGCUGUUCGCCAUUUAAAGUGGUACGCGAGCUGGGUUUAGAACGUCGUGAGACAGUUCGGUCCCUA